Molecule: unclassified non-coding RNA, 2335 nt
Filed under: Octopus sinensis (East Asian common octopus)
Lineage: Eukaryota; Metazoa; Mollusca; Cephalopoda; Octopoda; Octopodidae
Description: uncharacterized LOC115226126, transcript variant X1
Source: RNAcentral
UCCAAUCAGUUGGGAGGCAGACAUUGGUUCCGUCUUCAGUGCGGAACAGCCGGAAGUCGUAAUGUUUAUAAUUCAACAUGGCUUCCCUGGUGGCUGACUACAGCGGAAGCAGCGAUGACGAGUUCGAAUCCGACCCACGUAACAGUGAUGAAAAUCAUGGGAAGAAUUUGCUGGUUAUAAACGAAGAAGAAUCCAGUUCAGAAGAAAACGAAACCCUGGAGUCAAACCAGAACCGGGCACAAAUUCGGAGUUCAGAGAAUUCCCAAGACGAACAACUGCCAAACCCUUUCAGCACAAGUUCAAACCUUCCGACUCCAAACCUGGAAUCCAAACCAGGCACCGGUUCCCACUUGGUCUUCUCAAAUCCAUUCAAAGAGGAACAGACUCGGAAAGACUUCAUUCUGGAGCAACAUGUGAAGAUGACGGAAAAACCCAAGAGUUCCACGUCCAAAAAACAGAUUUGCUGGAAGUUCCGGCAAGGGAAAUGUAGGUUCAGCAAAAACUGCAAGUUCUCACACGACAUCGACAACCAUAUAGAAAGCCCGCUGGUGAAGGGCAACCAGAACGCUGAAGUUCCUGCGCCGAAACAGUUUUCAGGUGAUGUACUGCUCAAGGGCCAGGGGUCGCAGGUUUUGAAUCCAAAUGUCCCCGAUGAGGAUGAUUAUAUGAAUAUGAACAACAGGCGAAAGAAGAGAUCUGGGGUCUCGGAGGGUCUAGUUCCUCCAAAAAAGGCUAUGGUUAUGCUUAAUAAAAUACAGGCCCAAGAACGGCCGUGGACUGUGAAAAGGUAGAAACAUACCAAAUCCCCUAGCAGCCCCCUGUUUUUGUUCUCUGCACCCUUCUUUCUUUUUUUGUCCCUUCCUUCUUUACCCCGUAUUGAGAAUCAACUAGUAAAAAUGUAAUCAGAGCCUGAAGCCCUCAUACCAAAGCAAUACUCCUAUGAUGUGCUGCUCCAGGGAAGGACAUCACAAGUAUUUGAACCAAAUGUCCCAGAUGAGGGACAGCUAUAUGAACAUGGAAAACAGACAGCAAAAAAGGAUUGGGGUUUUGUCCAGUUCUGCGCCUCUACAGAAAUGCUUAAGAAAACCCAAGAAGAGUUGUGACCGUGAAAAGGUAAUCUUACCUACCUGACCCCAAAAGCCUGUCUGGUUUUUUUUUCUCUCCUCUUUUUCUGUAUCCUAUAUUUAGAAUCAAUAAGUACUAGUCCAAAAUCCUCUUACUAAAGUACCACUCACAGAAGCAUUGCAAAUAUUCAAACCAAAUGCCCCAAAGGAACACAGCUAAAUGGACAUGAAAAAAUGAUUCGGGUUUUACUUAAGAAAACCCAGGCCCUAGAACAGUAGCAACUGUGAAAAGGUAAACCUACCUGACCCUGCCAAAACACUUUGUGUUUUUUUUUCCCCCUUCUUUACCCUAUAUUAAGAAUCGGUUAAUAAGAAAUCCUCAUACAAAAGCACAUUUCUGAGAGAAUUCGCUGCUUGCAGGUGAAGCAUCACAAAUACUUGAGCCAGGGGCCCCAGAUGAGGACAGCUACAUGAACGUGAAAAAAUAGCUGAAGUUUUAGGCAGUAGUGCAUCUAUGAAAAUACUGAAGAAAAUUUAAGCCAUGAACUGUGAAAAGCUGCACCUACCUUACCCCUAAAAGCUCUCUGUUCUUAUAUUUUUCUCUUCUUCCUCCCAUGUUGAGAAUCGGUUAGUAAGAAAUAAUCUGAAAUCCUCAUACAGAAACAGUAUUUCCGUUAAUGUGCUGCUCCUCGUGGGUAAGGCAUCUCAGAUGAGGACAGCUGUAUGGACAUGAAAAAUGAUUGGGGUUUUAGGGAGUUUUUGUGCCUAUGGGAAUACUGAAUAAAAUUCAGGCCCAAGAGAAGUUACAAUCUUACAUACCCCCCUUCACUGCCCCAUUUUAAGAGUACUAAAAGCAUCAAAGUCCUUGUGCCGAAACAGGACCCAGGCAGCGCCCUGCUCAAGGGCAAGGCAUCAAACUGAAAGUCCCGGAUGACCCCUCCUUCUCCUCAUCACCCCUCUCCUUCCUCUUCGUUUGUAGAAAAUUCCAGAAGCCAUCAGUUGGUCUGUAACUAACUUCUGCCCAGGAGACAAGAAGUCUUUUUUACUGGCUCAGGUUCAAACUCACAAGGAACAUAAUAAUAAUAAUCCUUUCUACUAUAAGUACUAGGCCUGAUGUGGUGAUAGUCGAUUACAUUGACCCCAGUAUGCAACUGGUACUUAAUUUAUUGACCCUGAAAGGAUGACAGACAGAGGAAAUGCCUCUAAGCAUUUUGUCCAGCAGACGAAUGAUUCUGCCCAGUCGCCAUAGUAACUGGUGGGGGACAAACACA